Molecule: ribosomal RNA, 492 nt
Filed under: uncultured bacterium
Lineage: Bacteria
Description: partial 16S ribosomal RNA
Rfam family: Bacterial small subunit ribosomal RNA
Source: RNAcentral
AUUGAACGCUGGCGGUAGGCCUAACACAUGCAAGUCGAACGGCAGCACAGUAAGAGCUUGCUCUUACGGGUGGCGAGUGGCGGACGGUUGAGGAAUACAUCGGAAUCUACUUUUUCGUGGGUGAUAACGCAGGGAAACUUACGCUAAUACCGCAUACGACCUAAGGGUGAAAGCAGGGGAUCUUCGGACCUUGCGCGAUUGAAUGAGCCGAGGUCGGAUUAGCUAGUUGGUGGGGUAAAGGCCCACCAAGGCGACGAUCCGUAGCUGGUCUGAGAGGAUGAUCAGUCACACUGGAACUGAGACACGGUCCAGACUCCUACGGGGGGCAGCAGUGGGGAAUAUUGGACAAUGGGCGAAAGCCUGAUCCAGCCAUGCCGCGUGUGUGAAGAAGGUCUUCGGAUUGUAAAGCCCUUUAAGUGGGGAGGAAGGGCAGUAAGUUAAUACCUUGCUGUUUUGACGUUACCAACAGAAUAAGCACCGGCUAACUUCGUG